UACGUAGGGCGCAAGCGUUAUCCGGAAUUAUUGGGCGUAAAGAGCUCGUAGGCGGUUUGUCGCGUCUGCCGUGAAAGUCCGGGGCUCAACUCCGGAUCUGCGGUGGGUACGGGCAGACUAGAGUGAUGUAGGGGAGACUGGAAUUCCUGGUGUAGCGGUGAAGUGCGCAGAUAUCAGGAGGAACACCGGUGGCGAAGGCGGGUCUCUGGGCCGAUACUGACGCUGAGGAGCGAAAGCGUGGGGAGCGAACAGG
This 253-nucleotide ribosomal RNA is filed under the name uncultured bacterium. Its description in RNAcentral is "partial 16S ribosomal RNA". It matches the Rfam family "Bacterial small subunit ribosomal RNA", at positions 524 to 776 of the family's 1533-position model. The record is from RNAcentral.